Molecule: ribosomal RNA, 465 nt
Filed under: Vreelandella stevensii
Lineage: Bacteria; Pseudomonadati; Pseudomonadota; Gammaproteobacteria; Oceanospirillales; Halomonadaceae
Description: partial 16S ribosomal RNA
Rfam family: Bacterial small subunit ribosomal RNA
Source: RNAcentral
CCUACGGGGGGCUGCAGUGGGGAAUAUUGGACAAUGGGCGAAAGCCUGAUCCAGCCAUGCCGCGUGUGUGAAGAAGGCCUUCGGGUUGUAAAGCACUUUCAGUGGGGAAGAAAGCCUUGGGGCUAAUACCCUCGAGGAAGGACAUCACCCACAGAAGAAGCACCGGCUAACUCCGUGCCAGCAGCCGCGGUAAUACGGAGGGUGCGAGCGUUAAUCGGAAUUACUGGGCGUAAAGCGCGCGUAGGCGGUCUGAUAAGCCGGUUGUGAAAGCCCCGGGCUCAACCUGGGAACGGCAUCCGGAACUGUCAGGCUAGAGUGCAGGAGAGGAAGGUAGAAUUCCCGGUGUAGCGGUGAAAUGCGUAGAGAUCGGGAGGAAUACCAGUGGCGAAGGCGGCCUUCUGGCCUGACACUGACGCUGAGGUGCGAAAGCGUGGGUAGCAAACAGGAUUAGAUCCCCCUGUAGUC